RNAcentral lists this long non-coding RNA (1244 nucleotides) under Nicotiana benthamiana. Its description in RNAcentral is "long non-coding RNA (NBEN_LNC030553)". The record is from RNAcentral. Lineage: Eukaryota; Viridiplantae; Streptophyta; Magnoliopsida; Solanales; Solanaceae.
AAUCUCAACAGAGUUGGAAUGUGUCAAAAAUCGCAGGUGCAUUUAUGUGACGUGGUUCGCAACAUGUUUUAAUGACGUUGCAAUUUUCAUUAAAAAUAAAAGUGGUUAAAGAUUCAAAAUGCACAUAGGUUCAUAAUUGUAUAAAAUCAGGUAAAUCAAGCCAAAUGUAACAGUUGAGCUACCGUGCUAGAACCAUGGAACUCGGGAGUGCCUAACACCUUCUCCCGGGUUAACAGAAUUCCUUACCCGGAUUUCUUGUUCGCGGACUAUUAAACAGAGUCGUUCUUUCCUAAAUCCGAGAUUCAAAAUGAUGACUUGGGACACCAUAAAUCUCUCAAGUGGCGACUCUGAAAUUCUCUUAAAUAAUUGAAUCCCGUUUCAAUUGUCCUUUGCUUGAAAAAACUCGCUUAUCUACGCCCUUUGCCGGGUUGUAGUAGCCAAAAGGAGGUGUGACAGAUGUGACAUGGAUCUAUGCGAUUCAUGUGAUGCUGCUGGCUGUGGGCCACAAGGUAGUAAGGCAGGUGGACUAUAUGUCGGACGCAUAGUCCUAUGGCCCUGUGACGAAAUACUCGAGGUUUGCACAAAGGUGUAGGGCAUGACAUGUUGUGGCAGCUCAAAAAUGCCCUAGGGUAAAGGCUGUGGCAUAGGCAUAGGCACAGCAGAGAAGGGUGGAAAGAUUGAUGAGUAGUUCUUCUACCCUCCUCUUUACUUUCCUAGCCUUUUCUUGACCCCGAGAACUAUUACCUUCAUUGUUACCUCGACCAUUGCCUGUCAUUUGCAUAAUAUCAUACAUAUUUAGAUUGAAACAUAUAAAGAAACUAUCUAUAAGCGAGAGUUAUUGAAGAAACUAACUUUUUAAAGCUUAUCGACGUAUUCUUCCUCGUCAGAGAAUUCUUCUUCCUCACUAGUUUGAGCUUCAUCAGUUUAUUCUUCUUCCUCGUUUUCUAUACUUAUUACUUCAUUUAUAUCUACUACUUCCAAUAUGUGUUCAUGAUGUUCUAAAUCAUUCUCUAAAAGUUCUUCUACUAUUUGGUGAACACGGGAGAUAUCGUUUUGAUAUGCAACAUCCAACACAUUCUCGACAUUGACCCUACCUACAGGCUUAGUUUUGAUUACUACCCAGCAAUUGGACUUAUUCCGCCAAAAAGGAUAAGGAGCAUAAUACACUUUCCUAACAUUAUGUGCAAUUACGAAAGAUCAUAGCGAUCAUACUCCCUUGUAUGAUUAACCCCAAUUAUGUUGUA